This 675-nucleotide unclassified non-coding RNA is filed under the name Hevea brasiliensis (rubber tree). Lineage: Eukaryota; Viridiplantae; Streptophyta; Magnoliopsida; Malpighiales; Euphorbiaceae. The record is from RNAcentral.
GUUUUUGGCUUCCUCAUCAACAGUCCCUGCAAAGAACAUCGCUGAUGUGUCACCAUGGUAACCAUUAAGAUAAACGGUAACAUCAAUAUUGAUAAUAUCCCCAUCCUCAAGUGGACGUGAAUCGGGGAUUCCGUGGCAAAUGCACUCGUUUAUUGAUGUGCAUACACUCUUUGGAAAUCCACCAUAACCAAGAGGUGAUGGAUAUGCUCCAUUGUCAAUGAUCAUUUGGUGAACGGCUUGGUCAAUUUCAUCUGUCAUGAUGCCUGGCUUGACUAAUGUCCCAGCAUACUGAAGAACCUGUGCAGCAAGCCUUCCUGAAGCUCUCAUCUUUUCUAUUCCCUUUUUGUCAUGCACUUCGGAGCCACUACCAAUACCAGGUGGCUUCCUAGACUUCACAUAUGGAGGCCGUUGUAUUUGUUCUGGAACUGGUCGAGGAGGAGAAAUUUGGCCUGGUCUUAAACGUUUGCGAUUGGUGUUUGGAAGUUCAUCUACAUUUCUUCUAUUGAAUAACAAAUCCGUUAACCCAGAAAAUGUUCUUGAGCAUUGCAUCGACACAUGUUUAUUUCCUGGUUUGUAAUGGAAGAGUCGACGAAGUGAGUGAGGAUGGUUAAUGAAGCGGCAAUCGCCAAGAAAGGUAGAGACGAAGCCCACCAUUCUCUUCUCUUAUCACCUUCU